This 110-nucleotide non-coding RNA is filed under the name Mucilaginibacter lappiensis. RNAcentral describes it as "SAM-I sequence". It matches the Rfam family "SAM riboswitch aptamer (S box leader)". Rfam says of the family: The SAM riboswitch is found upstream of a number of genes which code for proteins involved in methionine or cysteine biosynthesis in Gram-positive bacteria. The SAM riboswitch acts at the level of transcription termination control. The record is from RNAcentral. Lineage: Bacteria; Pseudomonadati; Bacteroidota; Sphingobacteriia; Sphingobacteriales; Sphingobacteriaceae.
CGCUUAUCAAGAAAGACUGAGGGAAAGGCCCAAAGACGUCUUAGCAACCUGUACAUCCGCAUAAUGUAAAAGGUGCUAAUUCCUGCUCCAUACCAGGAGAAAGAUAAACA